ACAGCAAGUCGCGGUAUAUGCACUGACGCUGCCCGGUGCGGAAGGUUAAGRAGGAUCCGUCAACCUUUUAGGUGAAGCGGUGAAUUCAAGCCCGGUAAACGGCAGGUGGUAACUAUAACCAUCCUAAGGUAGCGAAAUUCCUUGUCGGGUAAGUUCCGACCUGCACGAAUGGCGUAACGACUUCCCCACUGUCUCGACCAGGAGCUCGGCGAAAUUGCAGUACGAGUAAAGAUGCUCGUUAAGCGCAGAAGGACGAAAAGACCCCGGGACCUUUACUAUACCUUGGUAUUGGCAUUCGGUGUGGAUUGUGUAGCAUAGGCGGGAGACUACGAUAUCCAGGCGCCAGCCUGGGUGGAGUCGCAAGGUGAAAUACCGCUCUGUUCGCAUUGGAUGUCUCACCACGACCAGUCAUCCUGGUCUGGGACAGUGCCUGGCGGGUAGUUUAACUGGGGCGGUUGCCUCCCAAAGAGUAACGGAGGCGCUCAAAGGUUCCCUCAGCCCGGUUGGCAAUCGGGUGGCGAGUGUAAGUGCACAAGGGAGCUUGACUGCGAGACUGACGGGUCGAGCAGGGACGAAAGUCGGAACUAGUGAUCCGGUGCCGGUGUACGGACGCGGCAUCGCUCAACGGAUAAAAGGUACCCCGGGGAUAACAGGCUGAUCAUUCCCAAGAGUCCAUAUCGACGGAUGGUUUGGCACCUCGAUGUCGGCUCGUCGCAUCCUGGGGCUGGAGCAGGUCCCAAGGGUUCGGCUGUUCGCCGAUUAAAGCGGCACGCGAGCUGGGUUCAGAACGUCGUGAGACAGUUUGGUCUCUAUCCUCUGCGCUCGUUGGAAUGUUGAGGAGGCCUGCCCAUAGUACGAGAGGACCUGGGUGGACGAACCUCUGGUAUGCCGGUUGUCGCGCCAGCGGCACGGCCGGUUGGCCACGUUCGGAAGGGAUAACCGCUGAAAGCAUCUAAGCGGGAAGCCUGCUCCAAGAUAAGCAUUCCAUAGGCCCUCGGGCCUUGAACCCCCCAUGUAGAACACGUGGUCGAUAGGCCGGACGUGGAAGCCCCGCGAGGGGUGGAGCCGACCGGUACUAACGGGGAAAGGCGAAACCUU
This 1098-nucleotide non-coding RNA is filed under the name Bifidobacterium saguini DSM 23967. RNAcentral describes it as "bacterial LSU rRNA". It matches the Rfam family "Bacterial large subunit ribosomal RNA", at positions 1831 to 2925 of the family's 2925-position model. The record is from RNAcentral. Lineage: Bacteria; Bacillati; Actinomycetota; Actinomycetes; Bifidobacteriales; Bifidobacteriaceae.